UCCCUGGUGGUCUAGUGGUUAGGAUUCAGUGCUCUCACUGUCGUGGCCUGGGUUCGUUUCCCGGUCAGGGAA
RNAcentral lists this transfer RNA (72 nucleotides) under Anolis carolinensis (green anole). It matches the Rfam family "tRNA". Rfam says of the family: Transfer RNA (tRNA) molecules are approximately 80 nucleotides in length. Their secondary structure includes four short double-helical elements and three loops (D, anti-codon, and T loops). The record is from Rfam by way of RNAcentral. Lineage: Eukaryota; Metazoa; Chordata; Lepidosauria; Squamata; Anolidae.